RNAcentral lists this ribosomal RNA (492 nucleotides) under uncultured bacterium. Its description in RNAcentral is "partial 16S ribosomal RNA". It matches the Rfam family "Bacterial small subunit ribosomal RNA", at positions 29 to 507 of the family's 1533-position model. The record is from RNAcentral.
AGUGAACGCUGGCGGUAGGCCUAACACAUGCAAGUCGAACGGCAGCACAGUAAGAGCUUGCUCUUACGGGUGGCGAGUGGCGGACGGGUGAGGAAUACAUCGGAAUCUACUUUUUCGUGGGGGAUAACGUAGGGAAACUUACGCUAAUACCGCAUACGACCUACGGGUGAAAGCAGGGGAUCUUCGGACCUUGCGCGAUUGAAUGAGCCGAUGUCGGAUUAGCUAGUUGGCGGGGUAAAGGCCCACCAAGGCGACGAUCCGUAGCUGGUCUGAGAGGAUGAUCAGCCACACUGGAACUGAGACACGGUCCAGACUCCUACGGGAGGCAGCAGUGGGGAAUAUUGGACAAUGGGUGCAAGCCUGAUCCAGCCAUACCGCGUGGGUGAAGAAGGCCUUCGGGUUGUAAAGCCCUUUUGUUGGGAAAGAAAAGCAGCAGGUUAAUACCCCGCUGUUCUGACGGUACCCAAAGAAUAAGCACCGACUAACUUCGUG